CUGGUGCCUGGUUGGUAAGAUUAAAUAGGUCUAACCGUCUAGCCUGUUGAUUGAGGGUGAUCUAGCUUAAUGUGGGUCAACUCAGGUGUGAAGUCCCUGUACCUAGUGAAUAAAAGGCUAAUAAAUCCCGCCUUCCAAUAGGUAUUUGCCUUUUGAGAAGUUGGUUAGGAGCUAUGGUCCUAACAUAAGGAGAUGUGAGAGGGAGAUAUAGAGGAAUGAGCAAGAGAGAGAAAGGAACAAAUUAAGGGCAAAAAAUUAGAGAGGAAAAGGUAGAGAACUUGGAGGUUCAAUCGC
Molecule: long non-coding RNA, 294 nt
Filed under: Elaeis guineensis (African oil palm)
Lineage: Eukaryota; Viridiplantae; Streptophyta; Magnoliopsida; Arecales; Arecaceae
Description: long non-coding RNA (EGUI_LNC041791)
Source: RNAcentral